UGUAAAAUGGUCUAAAAUGGU
Molecule: non-coding RNA, 21 nt
Filed under: Arabidopsis thaliana (thale cress)
Lineage: Eukaryota; Viridiplantae; Streptophyta; Magnoliopsida; Brassicales; Brassicaceae
Source: RNAcentral